RNAcentral lists this ribosomal RNA (497 nucleotides) under uncultured bacterium. RNAcentral describes it as "partial 16S ribosomal RNA". It matches the Rfam family "Bacterial small subunit ribosomal RNA", at positions 28 to 507 of the family's 1533-position model. The record is from RNAcentral.
GAUGAACGCCGGCGGCGUGCCUAAUACAUGCAAGUCGAGCGAACAGACGAGGAGCUUGCUCCUCUGACGUUAGCGGCGGACGGGUGAGUAACACGUGGAUAACCUACCUAUAAGACUGGGAUAACUUCGGGAAACCGGAGCUAAUACCGGAUAAUAUAUUGAACCGCAUGGUUCAAUAGUGAAAGACGGUUUUGCUGUCACUUAUAGAUGGAUCCGCGCCGCAUUAGCUAGUUGGUAAGGUAACGGCUUACCAAGGCGACGAUGCGUAGCCGACCUGAGAGGGUGAUCGGCCACACUGGAACUGAGACACGGUCCAGACUCCUACGGGAGGCAGCAGUAGGGAAUCUUCCGCAAUGGGCGAAAGCCUGACGGAGCAACGCCGCGUGAGUGAUGAAGGUCUUCGGAUCGUAAAACUCUGUUAUUAGGAAAGAACAAAUGUGUAAGUAACUAUGCACGUCUUGACGGUACCUAAUCAGAAAGCCACGGCUAACUACGUG